UAAAUUUCUGAUAGUAAAUUUGUGAGGUUC
Molecule: non-coding RNA, 30 nt
Filed under: Rattus norvegicus (Norway rat)
Lineage: Eukaryota; Metazoa; Chordata; Mammalia; Rodentia; Muridae
Source: RNAcentral